GAUGAACGCUGGCGGCGUGCCUAAUACAUGCAAGUCGAGCGAACAGACGAGGAGCUUGCUCCUCUGACGUUAGCGGCGGACGGGUGAGUAACACGUGGAUAACCUACCUAUAAGACUGGGAUAACUUCGGGAAACCGGAGCUAAUACCGGAUAAUAUAUUGAACCGCAUGGUUCAAUAGUGAAAUACGGUUUUGCUGUCACUUAUAGAUGGAUCCGCGCCGCAUUAGCUAGUUGGUAAGGUAACGGCUUACCAAGGCAACGAUGCGUAGCCGACCUGAGAGGGUGAUCGGCCACACUGGAACUGAAACACGGUCCAGACUCCUACGGGAGGCAGCAGUAGGGAAUCUUCCGCAAUGGGCGAAAGCAUGACGGAGCAACGCCGCGUGAGUGAUGAAGGUCUUCGGAUCGUAAAACUCUGUUAUUAGGGAAGAACAAAUGUGUAAGUAACUAUGCACGUAUUGACGGUACCUAAUCAGAAAGCAACGGCUAACUACGUG
Molecule: ribosomal RNA, 497 nt
Filed under: uncultured bacterium
Lineage: Bacteria
Description: partial 16S ribosomal RNA
Rfam family: Bacterial small subunit ribosomal RNA
Source: RNAcentral